AAGUCGUAACAAGGUUUCCGUAGGUGAACCUGCGGAAGGAUCAUUAACACGUUUCCAAACGUUAACAACAACUUCGUGAACUUGUAACCUCCCUCUUCGACCAGAUGCGUGUACCGCCACAGAAGCCCAGUUUGUGGACAAACGAUCGGAAAAAUUAGCUAUUCAUUUAGCUAUUGAGUAUCCUCGGGGCUGCGGACACUGGAAUGCCGUUGAGCAAUCACAUCAGGUAGUUGCAGGCCAAUUUUAACCUUCCACUUCUAACCCCUUUAACCUGCAUCUUUUGGAUGCCGCGCUAUUUGACUGAUAUGACUAGUGCUUGACUGAACCGCUUGCGGUUUGGACCUUGUCUCUAUGUCAGAGUUAUGUAACUAAGCACAACUCUUAGCACCGGAUAUCUUGGUUCUC
This 405-nucleotide unclassified non-coding RNA is filed under the name fungal sp. RNAcentral's name for it is "partial internal transcribed spacer region". The stretch from base 1 to 46 matches the Rfam family "Eukaryotic small subunit ribosomal RNA", at positions 1786 to 1831 of the family's 1831-position model. The record is from RNAcentral. Lineage: Eukaryota; Fungi.